CCUACGGGGUGCAGCAGUGAGGAAUAUUGGUCAAUGGGCGCGAGCCUGAACCAGCCAAGUAGCGUGAAGGCUGACUUCCCUCCGUAUUGUAACCUUCUUUUAUAAAGGAAUAAAGUGAGGCACGUGUGCCUUUUUGUAUGUACUUUAUGAAUAAGGCUCGGCUAACUCCGUGCCAGCCGCCGCGGUAAUACGGAGGAUCCGAGCGUUAUCCGGAUUUAUUGGGUUUAAAGGGAGCGUAGAUGGGUUGUUAAGUCAGUCGUGAAAGGUUGCGGCUCAACCGUAAAAUUGCAAUUGAUACUGGCAGUCUUGAGUACAGUUGAGGUAGGCGGAAUUCGUGGUGUAGCGGUGAAAUGCUUAGAUAUCACGAAGAACUCCGAUUGCGAAGGCAGCUUACUAAACUGCCACUGACAUUGAUGCUCGAAAGUGUGGGUAUCAAACAGGAUUAGAUACCCGUGUAGUC
This 460-nucleotide ribosomal RNA is filed under the name uncultured bacterium. Its description in RNAcentral is "partial 16S ribosomal RNA". It matches the Rfam family "Bacterial small subunit ribosomal RNA", at positions 338 to 795 of the family's 1533-position model. The record is from RNAcentral.